RNAcentral lists this transfer RNA (57 nucleotides) under Phocaeicola coprophilus CAG:333. Its description in RNAcentral is "Bacteroides coprophilus CAG:333 tRNA". It matches the Rfam family "tRNA", at positions 1 to 55 of the family's 71-position model. From Rfam's summary of the family: Transfer RNA (tRNA) molecules are approximately 80 nucleotides in length. Their secondary structure includes four short double-helical elements and three loops (D, anti-codon, and T loops). Lineage: Bacteria; Pseudomonadati; Bacteroidota; Bacteroidia; Bacteroidales; Bacteroidaceae. The record is from Rfam by way of RNAcentral.
GCGGAAGUAGCUCAGUUGAUAGAGCAUUAGCCUUCCAAGCUGAGGGUCGCGGGUUUG